UUUCCGUAGGUGAACCUGCGGAAGGAUCAUUACUGAGUGAGGGCCCCUCGGGGUCCAACCUCCCACCCGUGUUGAACGAACCUUGUUGCUUCGGCGGGCCCGCCUCACGGCCGCCGGGGCGAAUCUGCCCGCGGGCCCGCGCGCGCCAAGGCCACCUGUGAACGCUGUUUGAAGUAUGCAAUCUGAGACAAUUAUUAAAUUAAUUAAAACUUUCAACAACGGAUCUCUUGGUUCCG
Molecule: unclassified non-coding RNA, 236 nt
Filed under: plant metagenome
Description: partial contains small subunit ribosomal RNA, internal transcribed spacer 1, and 5.8S ribosomal RNA
Source: RNAcentral